Molecule: ribosomal RNA, 864 nt
Filed under: Triticum aestivum (bread wheat)
Lineage: Eukaryota; Viridiplantae; Streptophyta; Magnoliopsida; Poales; Poaceae
Description: partial small subunit ribosomal RNA
Source: RNAcentral
AUGGGGGAGGAGGCCGGCGGCUACGAUUUUGACUUCGGGGGAGGGGGCUAUGGCGGGUACGACGGGAGGGUGACGGAGUGGGAGACGGGCCUGCCGGGGUGCGACGAGCUGACCCCGCUGUCGCAGCCGCUGGUGCCGCCGGGGCUCGCCGCGGCGUUCCGCAUCCCGCCGGAGCCGGGGCGGACGCUCCUCGACGUGCACCGCGCGUCCUCCGCCACCGUGUCCCGCCUCCGCUCCGCCUCCUCGUCCCCCUCCUCGGGCAACGGCCACGCCACGGGGGGCGGGUCCUUCCCCUCCUUCCCCGGCAAGGCGGCGGCGGCGGCGGAGGCCGGGGAGGACAGCGGCAACCGGGACAACAACUCGGCGGAGUCGGGCGGGGACAAGUCGGCGGCGGCGGCGACGAAGCGGGCGCGGCUGGUGUGGACGCCGCAGCUGCACAAGCGGUUCGUGGAGGUGGUGGCGCACCUGGGGAUCAAGAGCGCGGUGCCCAAGACCAUCAUGCAGCUGAUGAACGUGGAGGGGCUCACCCGCGAGAACGUCGCCAGCCACCUCCAGAAGUACCGCCUCUACGUCAAGCGGAUGCAGGGCCUCUCCAACGAGGGGCCCUCCGCCUCCGACCACAUCUUCGCCUCCACCCCGGUGCCGCCCAGCCUCCGCGAGCCCCAGGUGCCGGUGCCGCACGCCGCCGCCAUGGCCCCCGCCAUGUACCACCACCACCCGGCCCCCAUGGGCGGCGUCGCCGCCGGCCACGGCGGCUACUACCAGCAGCAGCACAGCGGCCACGCCGUCUACAACGGGUACGGCGGACACGGCCACGGCGGCGGCGUCUCCUCCUAUCCGCACUACCACCACGGCGACCAGUAG